AAACUCAUUUUUAAUGGCUUGUGUGGCAUCAGUUGUGCCCCUGAGCUGUAAUGAAGCACUCUGCAAGUCACUACACGCAAGUCAGAAAUGAAUCUCACAGAGAGGAAAAAUGCUGGAACGUUAAUAGGUUUUAAUCCAAGGUAAGCAAACCUAUUGAGCCACUACCAUAUGCUUUUUAAAUCUAAAUGUCAUGAAAUUUUCAGCAGUUUUCCCUUGCCUGCAAAUCAGUUCUGGUCCAGAGACAGCCAAGUAGGGAUCAGAAGGGAAAAAUCUCAAAUGUGCAUAACUGCCCAGGAGCACACCUUGAGGAGUUUACAAGCACCGUUCAGGCAAAACAAAGAAAUAAUUGAUGGAGCACAAGGGAAACUGGCUUCGUAGGGAAGGCAUUUGAAAAGCUUGUAAGUGCAGCAGACAUCUUGCGAUAUAUUUGAUCCUAUCUUCAAUAUCUUGGGUGGAGAAGGGGUGGUGAAAUCUGAGAGUCUCUGUUAUAUGGGUUUUCCCCUUAGGUUUUUGUUUAAGUGGAAAAGCAGUGUUUGUAUAUUGCACUUUAUUGCACUGAUACUAGCCAAUUUACUGAGAUUUAAUUGCUAAACAUGCUAUUUUAAAUUUCAUUUUGCACAGUAUCUUGGCAGCUUUUGAUGCUUAACCAUUCAGAAAACAACAAUCUCUGAGUAUUAAAGUAAAACAAAUUGGUUUUACACUGGUGAGAUUUUCUGUGUAUGUGGGAGUCUGGAGGCAUAUUCUGAAUUUUAUUCCUCUAGCUCGUGGAUGACCAUGAAAUAGAGAGAUAGAUUCAAGCCUUCACCUUUAGGAUCUUUGGGGCCAUGGCUGCCGGUCCCACUUUCAUCAUGCUUCUCAAUGCUUGAUGUGUUAAUUGCUGUAGUAACUAUGGGGAUGUUCCUCUUCUCUCUAAUGAAAUGGAAAAUGUGUACCUAGUCAGAACGCAUCGGAUUCAAUUAACCUAAAUUACAGAAAUGUGGAGGCCCUGCAAAAGAAAUUUUAAAAUUUAGCCAUCUUUUCAAGUUUGUAUUUAGACAUCUUUGCAAAGCUUACUACAACAAGACAUGGUUCCAAGGGCUUUAUUACUUUAUUUAAUCCUGUUUUAAAUGAGGAAACUGACGCACAGUAAGGUUAAGUAAUUUGCCCAAGGUCACAGAGGGCAUAAAUUAGAGUUUGAAUUCAGACUGUUUCUAGAGACUUUGCGUACUCCUAACCAUCUAUUCUAGCCCUUCUCAGAGCAACUAGCAUGAAAGUUUAAUAGUGAAUUACAGUAAUUUUAGAGCUCCUUUGCUGCAUUUUCUUUAGAAAAAAAUUUUAAUGUUUGUUUAUUUAUUUUUGGGGGAGACAGAGAGACAGAUUGAAAGCAGGGGAGAGGUAGAGGGGUGGGGGGAGAGAGAGAGAGAGAAAUAGACAGAAUCUGAAGCAGGCUCCAGGCUCCAAGCCAACAGCACAGAGCCCAAAGUGGGGCUUGAACCCACGAAGCGUGGGAUCAUGACCUGGGCCGAUGCUCAACUAAGUGAGCCAACCAGGCACCCUUCCUUUGCUGCACUUUAUUAUCUAAGGCUAUGAAUAAUUUGUAGCUACUCACAGAAAUGGCCUGAUGGGUCAGAAAAAUUUUGGUCCCACUCAAAAGUAUAAUCUAUUACUCCCUAUGGAUGCCCCCUUCUCCAGAUUUUGCAGUCUUCAUGUAAUGAAAAUGUUAGUCCUAUAAAUAUUUUAUGGAAACAAAACUAAAAAUGAGCCUUGGACCUCAGCCAAAAAUUCUGCUAUCCUGGGACAUAGUUGGGAGAGUCAGAAUAGAGAAUAAAAUAAAGUUCAAUGUGUCCUUCCUAAGACCUACCAUAUUAUAAACUUGGGAUAGUCACCAGUUGUCCCAAUGACUGAUUCCUAUCUGUGUGGCCUUGGAAAGCAGAAGAAAUAGGAGGAGGAUAUGAUUUGGAAGGUUGAGGUUCUCACACUUUAAUGUGCUUAUGAAUUUCCCCCAGAGAACUUAUUGGAAUACAGAUUAUUUUUUUGUAGGUCAUAGGUGUGUCCAAAUAUUCUGAAUUUCCAUUAUACACCUAGGUACUGCUGAUGCCACUGGUCCAUAGACCAUAUUUUGAGACAAGGAUCUAGAAUCAAUCAGCAGCAUCACCAUCAUCUGGAAACUUGCUGGAAAUGCAGAUUCUUUGGCUCUAUUCCAGGCCCACUCAAUCAGAAUUUAUGUUUUGACAAAAUCUCCAGUUAAUUUAUAUGUACUUUAAUUGAGAAAUGUGGUCUAGGGUACCCUUCAAAUGAUGUAGAUGGACAUAAAUCAUUAAACACACCUGCAAAUGAAUUAGUAAUGGUGGGAAGGAAGACAGAGAUAAUAUAAAGUUCUCACUAUGACUUCCGUUCAAGUAUUUCAAAUAUCUUUUUUUCUUUGUGAUCACUUUUCAAUAGCUAAAAAAAAAAGCCCUUGGAAUUCCCCAUUCAAAGCUUAUCUGCAAAAGUUUGUAGAACCUUUCAUUUAAGACGGGUUAUUCAUCUUAAAUUGUUUCUCCUUUAGAAUCAGGCUAUAACAACUGAAACAACUUGAAAAUUUUGAAUCCAGAAGAAUUAUAGGCAGUCUUCCCCACCAAAGUCUCCAUUUCUGGAUGGUGGAAUCCUAAGUUCUGAGUCACCUACAGAAGAUGCUAAGGUAUUGUCAGCCUGGAUUGGGGAUGACCACCACCUUGCCCUAUCCAGAGAAACCUCUGGACUUGCACUGAACACUGACCUUUCUCAUACCAAUGCCCAGACCCCUAGAGGGCAGAAGAAUACAGGUCUAACCUCUGCUCUCAACAUGACCAGUAGUUGCUUGAUCUGUUAUGGGGCAGGUUUGGGGAGGGCCACCUUAGGUUGGCUGGAGCACCAGGGGUCAGAGAACAAACAGUGGGGAGUGAGAACCCAUCCCAGGGAGGUAGAGUGGUGGCCAGAGGUGGGACCAUGCCAAGGCUUCAAUACCUCCGAGCACCCCAUUGUCUUAUUGAACUUCAUUUAUGAAACACAAAAUUCAAAGAUCAAAUUAUUAUAAGAAUUUCAAGAGAGUGACUGCAGAACAUUAAAAACCAAGUGCAGGACCCUUCUAAGCACAGGGUCCUGUGCAACCAUACUGGUUAAAGACCCAUGAAACUGGCCCUGACUCUGGAAAUUGUCUGUUAUUUUUUGUGUUUGGGAAUAUAUUCAGACUUGUUUGUACUGGAUCUAUCUGAAAAGCUAAAUAAUGUUUAUGCUAAUCAGAUAGUUUAAUACAGUGGUCCUCCAAGCAUGGGUCUGCCCCAGCAGCAUCAGCAUCACCUAAGAACAUGUUAGAAAUGCAAAUUCUUAGGCCCAGCUUCAAAGUAUAGAAAUAGAAUCUCUAGGGGUGGGGUCCAGCAACCUGUGGUUUUAACAAGCCCUCCUUGGGGCGCCUGGGUGGCUCAGUCGGUUAAGCGUCUGACUUCGGCUCAGGUCACAUCUCACGGUCCGUGGGUUCGAGCCCUGCGUCGGGCUCUGUGAUGACAGCUCAGAGCCUGGACCCUGCUUCACAUUCUGUGUCUCCCUCUUUCUCUGACCCUCCCCUGUUCAUGCUCUCUGUCUCAAAAAUAAAUAAAUGUUAAAAAAAAUUUUUUUUUUAAAAACAAGCCCUCCUGGUGAUUCUAAUGCAGGAAGAAGUUUGAUCUAAUGGUUCUGAUCUAACAGUUUUGAAGCUUUCUGCCGAGGAAGAAUUUUUUUUUAUCCUAAAUUAUUGUUGCAGAAUUCUCAACAAUUAUUUGGAGGUGGUAAUGGCAAUGAAUUAUGGGUCACAUGAGUAUUCCUUACUCUUGCAUGUUUUCUUCUAGUAGGAAAGAUCUGCCAGAGUAGCUGAGAGUUGCAGGGCUCCUAAUAGCUAUUUGGAGGUGGCAGGAGGGCUUCUGUACUGAAGUACAUGACAGCAUGGGGAAGAGUGACAGAACCACCAGCAUGAUGGCUUUGCUUCAGUCCCAGAGAGACAGCAAUUCAAAUUCCAGUGUUCCUUCUAACCAACUGGUAACACCUUGGAAGGAUUAUUUACCUUCUCUUAGCUUAGGUAUCUUCAGCCAUAAAAUAGGGAUAAUAAUAGUGAUGCUAUUGUAUCACUAUAGGAUAUAAGUGGGGAACACUUCCUGGGGUUCUUGUGAGGUGUGACUGAGCUAAUGGGAAGUCCUUAUUAUAGUGCUAGACACAUAGUUAGCACUCAACAGACAGUAGGUAUUAUUCAAGGAAUAAAAUUAUUGCAUACUGAUCUAACCUAUAAUGCAGUUAUGUAUUUACAUUUUAAUUUGAUUGGUAGUGCUGAUUAUUAGAUACAAAUUGAAACAUUCUAUUUCCAUAAAGGUCAAUGGAAUAUGUAUGCAUAUGUGACCUAAAACAAUUGUUUUCAGACUCUUGUUUCCUUAUUAGAGGGUUUCCAGGAUUCCACCUGUCCCAUCAGAGGGUUAAAUUUUCUUUUUUCCUGAAGGACUAGCAGCUCAGUUUUUCCCUAGCAUUAUCGUACUUUUGUGCUGAGCAUACAUUAUUAGAUCAUAGGCUUUCUUCCUCUUAGCACCCAUAUAUUUUCUAAAUCAAUGAUUUGCAAAGCAAAAGGGAUUCCCUCAGGUAAAUAUUUGCUAGGCAGGUCCAUCUUGCCCUGCUUUCUGAGCAGGGGCAAAGACUUCCUUUAAGCCUUGUGUUGA
RNAcentral lists this long non-coding RNA (4673 nucleotides) under Lynx pardinus (Iberian lynx). The stretch from base 3409 to 3492 matches the Rfam family "tRNA". Lineage: Eukaryota; Metazoa; Chordata; Mammalia; Carnivora; Felidae. The record is from RNAcentral.